GACGAACGCUGGCGGCGUGCUUAACACAUGCAAGUCGAACGGUGAAGCGCCUUCCUUUUUGGUGGGUGUGGAUGAGUGGCGAACGGGUGAGUAACACGUGAGUAACCUGCCCCCUUCUUCUGGAUAACCGCAUGAAAGUGUGGCUAAUACGGGACAUUCUGGGUCUGUCGCAUGAUGGGUCUGGGAAAGAUAUUGUUUCGGUGGGGGAGGGGUCGGGGCCUAUCGGCUUGUUGGGGGGGGGGUGGCCGACAAAGGCGGUGGCGGGUAGCCGGCCUGAGAGGGUGGACGGUCACACUGGGACUGAGACCCGGCCCAGACUCCUACGGGAGGCAGCAGUGGGGAAUAUUGCACAAUGGGCGCAAGCCUGAUGCAGCGACGCCGCGUGAGGGAUGGAGGCCUUCGGGUUGUGAACCUCUUUCGCCAGUGAAGCAGGCCUGCCUCGUUUGUGGGUGGGUUGACGGUAGCUGGAUAAGAAGCGCCGGCUAACUACGUG
RNAcentral lists this ribosomal RNA (493 nucleotides) under uncultured bacterium. Its description in RNAcentral is "partial 16S ribosomal RNA". It matches the Rfam family "Bacterial small subunit ribosomal RNA", at positions 28 to 507 of the family's 1533-position model. The record is from RNAcentral.